GACGAACGCUGGCGGCGUGCUUAACACAUGCAAGUCGAACGGAAAGGCUCUGCUUUUGUGGGGUGCUCGAGUGGCGAACGGGUGAGUAACACGUGAGUAGCCUGCGCUUGACUGCGGGAUAACUCCAGGAAACUGGGGCGAAUACCGGAUAGGAGCUCCUGCUGCAUGGUGGGUGUUGGAAAGUUUCGGCGGUUGGGGAUGGACUCGCGGCUUAUCAGCGUGUUGGUGGGGUAGUGGCGUACCACGGCUUUGACGGGUAGCCGGCCUGAGAGGGUGACCGGCCACAUUGGGCCUGAGGUAGGGCCCAGACGGCAACGGGAGGCAGCGGUGGAGAAUUGUGCGCAAUGGGCGGAGGGCGGAUGCAAGAACGCCGCGUGCGGGAUGACGGCCUGCGGGGUAUAAACCGCUUGCGCGUGUAACGAAGAGUGAGUGACGGUAAUGGGUAAGGAAGCGACGGCUAACUACGUG
RNAcentral lists this ribosomal RNA (468 nucleotides) under uncultured bacterium. RNAcentral describes it as "partial 16S ribosomal RNA". It matches the Rfam family "Bacterial small subunit ribosomal RNA", at positions 28 to 507 of the family's 1533-position model. The record is from RNAcentral.